RNAcentral lists this ribosomal RNA (480 nucleotides) under uncultured bacterium. RNAcentral's name for it is "partial 16S ribosomal RNA". It matches the Rfam family "Bacterial small subunit ribosomal RNA", at positions 28 to 507 of the family's 1533-position model. The record is from RNAcentral.
GACGAACGCUGGCGGCGUGCUUAACACAUGCAAGUCGAACGAUGAAGAAAAGAAUCGAAGCUUCGGCAGAAAUUCAUUUCGGAUUAGUGGCAGACGGGUUAGUAACGCGUGAGCAACCUACCUCUUACAAAGGGAUAGCCUCGGGAAACCGGGAUUAAUACCAUAUAACAUUGCGACGAAGCAUUUUGAUGCAAUCAAAGCUACGGCGGUAAGAGAUGGGCUCGCGUCCCAUUAACCGGAUAGUGAGGUAACGGCUCACCAUAGUGACGAUGGGUAACCGGCCUGAGAGGGUGAACGGUCACACUGAAACUGAGACACGGUCGAGACUCCUACGGGAGGCAGCAGUGGGGAAUAUUGCACAAUGGAGGGAAUUAUGAUGCAGCGACGCCGCGUGAGUGAUGAAGGAAUUCGUUUCGUAAAACUCUGUUCUAUGGGAAGAAAAGGACUGUACCAUAGGAGAAAGCUCCGGCUAAAUACGUG